AUGGCAGACGCGAACCGGUGGUGGGGGGCAGCGAAUGUGGUGUCGCAAGCCUUCGUGCAAGCUGUCGGCACGGAAGAAGUCUUCAGGUCGAUCAACCUCGCCAUCGCCAAGUUCGAGGCGCGAGCCGGGUUGCUGCGCGCGAUCCGCGACGGCGCCACCCUCGAGGAGGCGACCGCAGGCUACGUCGAGCCGGGUCCCGCCGGGGUCCUCCCCGCCGCGCUCCUCGAGGACGCCCGGCGCGGCAUCAAGCGCCGCCGCUCGCUCCACGCCUUGGCCCGCGGCCUCCCCCUCUGCACCCAUGCACUGGGCCGGGCACCCGAUGCGGAGACGACCCAGAGAUGGGAGAACUGCAACGUCGCCGUGCUCACCUACGCCCGCCGCGCGCAGACGAGGCUGCGCAACGCCGCGUCGCUCUACAAGGCGGCCGUGGACGCCAUCGACUUGGCCUCGGUGCUUCCGUUCGGAGCCCCGCUCCGCGUCGCCUGGAUGGGGGCGGCCGAGCAGCUCACGAGGCUUGCCGCCAGGGAGGCCACCAUGGCGCGCGACAACAUGAUCAUGAUGGGGCUAGCCGUUAGUCAGCAGGCCUGGGUCGCCAAGGCCAUGAUGGGGCCUGCGCCAGGCGCGCUCGGCGGAGGAAUCAACAACUAA
This 648-nucleotide ribosomal RNA is filed under the name Triticum aestivum (bread wheat). RNAcentral's name for it is "partial small subunit ribosomal RNA". The record is from RNAcentral. Lineage: Eukaryota; Viridiplantae; Streptophyta; Magnoliopsida; Poales; Poaceae.